Molecule: ribosomal RNA, 235 nt
Filed under: Pseudoalteromonas sp. NZS100_1
Lineage: Bacteria; Pseudomonadati; Pseudomonadota; Gammaproteobacteria; Alteromonadales; Pseudoalteromonadaceae
Description: partial 23S ribosomal RNA
Rfam family: Bacterial large subunit ribosomal RNA
Source: RNAcentral
GACCCUAGUACGAGAGGACCGGGUUGAACAUACCUCUGGUGUACCUGUCGUCACGCCAGUGGCGCAGCAGGGUAGCUAUGUAUGGACGGGAUAACCGCUGAAAGCAUCUAAGCGGGAAGCCUCCCUCAAGAUAAGAUUUCAUCGAGCCGUCGUAGACCACGACGUUGAUAGGCUGGAUGUGGAAGUGCGGUAACGCAUGGAGCUAACCAGUCCUAAUUGCUCUGUUCGCGCUUAA